GACGAACGCUGGCGGCGUGCCUAAUACAUGCAAGUAGAACGCUGAAGGAGGAGCUUGCUUCUCCGGAUGAGUUGCGAACGGGUGAGUAACGCGUAGGUAACCUGCCUGGUAGCGGGGGAUAACUAUUGGAAACGAUAGCUAAUACCGCAUAAGAGUAGAUGUCGCAUGACAUUUGCUUAAAAGGUGCAACUGCACCACUACCAGAUGGACCUGCGUUGUAUUAGCUAGUUGGUGAGGUAACGGCUCACCAAGGCAACGAUACAUAGCCGACCUGAGAGGGUGCUCGGCCACACUGGGACUGAGACACGGCCCAGACUCCUACGGGAGGCAGCAGUAGGGAAUCUUCGGCAAUGGACGGAAGUCUGACCGAGCAACGCCGCGUGAGUGAAGAAGGUUUUCGGAUCGUAAAGCUCUGUUGUAAGAGAAGAACGAGUGUGAGAGUGGAAAGUUCACACUGUGACGGUAUCUUACCAGAAAGGGACGGCUAACUACGUG
Molecule: ribosomal RNA, 495 nt
Filed under: uncultured bacterium
Lineage: Bacteria
Description: partial 16S ribosomal RNA
Rfam family: Bacterial small subunit ribosomal RNA
Source: RNAcentral